UGGGGAAUAUUGGACAAUGCGCGCAAGCCUGAUCCAGCAAUGCCGCGUGUGUGAAGAAGGCCUUCGGGUUGUAAAGCACUUUUAUCUGGAGCGAAAUCUGCAGGGCUAAUACCCAUGCAGUCUGACGGUACCAGAGGAAUAAGCACCGGCUAACUUCGUGCCAGCAGCCGCGGUAAUACGAAGGGUGCAAGCGUUACUCGGAAUUACUGGGCGUAAAGCGUGCGUAGGUGGUGGUUUAAGUCAGAUGUGAAAGCCCUGGGCUCAACCUGGGAACUGCAUUUGAUACGGGAUCACUAGAGUGCGGUAGAGGGUAGUGGAAUUCCCGGUGUAGCAGUGAAAUGCGUAGAGAUCGGGAGGAACACCAGUGGCGAAGGCGGCUACCGGGACCAGCACUGACACUGAGUCACGAAAGCGUGGGGAGCAAACC
Molecule: ribosomal RNA, 427 nt
Filed under: uncultured bacterium
Lineage: Bacteria
Description: bacterial SSU rRNA
Rfam family: Bacterial small subunit ribosomal RNA
Source: RNAcentral